GAUGAACGCUGGCGGCGUGCCUAAUACAUGCAAGUCGAACGAGUUCUCGUUGAAUCUCGGUGCUUGCACCGAGAUUCAACAUGGAACGAGUGGCGGACGGGUGAGUAACACGUGGGUAACCUGCCCUUAAGUGGGGGAUAACAUUUGGAAACAGAUGCUAAUACCGCAUAGAUCCAAGAACCGCAUGGUUCUUGGCUGAAAGAUGGCGUAAGCUAUCGCUUUUGGAUGGACCCGCGGCGUAUUAGCUAGUUGGUGAGGUAAUGGCUCACCAAGGCGAUGAUACGUAGCCGAACUGAGAGGUUGAUCGGCCACAUUGGGACUGAGACACGGCCCAAACUCCUACGGGAGGCAGCAGUAGGGAAUCUUCCACAAUGGACGCAAGUCUGAUGGAGCAACGCCGCGUGAGUGAAGAAGGCUUUCGGGUCGUAAAACUCUGUUGUUGGAGAAGAAUGGUCGGCAGAGUAACUGUUGUCGGCGUGAC
This 481-nucleotide ribosomal RNA is filed under the name Lacticaseibacillus paracasei. RNAcentral describes it as "bacterial SSU rRNA". It matches the Rfam family "Bacterial small subunit ribosomal RNA", at positions 28 to 473 of the family's 1533-position model. Lineage: Bacteria; Bacillati; Bacillota; Bacilli; Lactobacillales; Lactobacillaceae. The record is from RNAcentral.